GGCUUAGAGUUUGAUCAUGGCUCAGGAUGAACGCUGGCGGCGUGCUUAACACAUGCAAGUCGAGCGAAGCACUUACUUUGGAUUUCUUCGGAAUGACGAGGUAUUUGACUGAGCGGCGGACGGGUGAGUAACGCGUGGGCGACCUGCCUCACACAGGGGGAUAACAGUUAGAAAUGACUGCUAAUACCGCAUAAGACCACAGCACCGCAUGGUGCAGGGGUAAAAACUCCGGUGGUGUGAGAUGGGCCCGCGUCUGAUUAGGUAGUUGGUGCGGUAACGGCGCACCAAGCCGACGAUCAGUAGCCGACCUGAGAGGGCGACCGGCCACAUUGGGACUGAGACACGGCCCAAACUCCUACGGGAGGCAGCAGUGGGGAAUAUUGCACAAUGGGGGAAACCCUGAUGCAGCGACGCCGCGUGAAGGAUGAAGUAUUUCGGUAUGUAAACUUCUAUCAGCAGGGAAGAAAAUGACGGUACCUGACUAAGAAGCCCCGGCUAACUACGUGCCAGCAGCCGCGGUAAUACGUAGGGGGCAAGCGUUAUCCGGAUUUACUGGGUGUAAAGGGAGCGUAGACGGCUGUGCAAGUCUGGAGUGAAAACCCGGGGCUCAACCCCGGGAUUGCUUUGGAAACUGUGUAGCUGGAGUACCGGAGAGGCAAGUG
Molecule: ribosomal RNA, 662 nt
Filed under: uncultured bacterium
Lineage: Bacteria
Description: bacterial SSU rRNA
Rfam family: Bacterial small subunit ribosomal RNA
Source: RNAcentral